RNAcentral lists this ribosomal RNA (496 nucleotides) under uncultured bacterium. Its description in RNAcentral is "partial 16S ribosomal RNA". It matches the Rfam family "Bacterial small subunit ribosomal RNA", at positions 28 to 506 of the family's 1533-position model. The record is from RNAcentral.
GAUGAACGCUGGCGGCGUGCCUAAUACAUGCAAGUCGAGCGAACAGACGAGGAGCUUGCUCCUCUGACGUUAGCGGCGGACGGGUGAGUAACACGUGGAUAACCUACCUAUAAGACUGGGAUAACUUCGGGAAACCGGAGCUAAUACCGGAUAACAUGUUGAACCGCAUGGUUCAACAGUGAAAGACGGUCUUGCUGUCACUUAUAGAUGGAUCCGCGCCGCAUUAGCUAGUUGGUAAGGUAACGGCUUACCAAGGCAACGAUGCGUAGCCGACCUGAGAGGGUGAUCGGCCACACUGGAACUGAGACACGGUCCAGACUCCUACGGGAGGCAGCAGUAGGGAAUCUUCCGCAAUGGGCGAAAGCCUGACGGAGCAACGCCGCGUGAGUGAAGAAGGUCUUCGGAUCGUAAAACUCUGUUAUUAGGGAAGAACAAAUGUGUAAGUAACUACGCACGUCUUGACGGUACCUAAUCAGAAAGCCACGGCUAACUACGU